CCCAGGGUAAGUCGGGACCUAAGGCGAGGCCGACAGGCGUAGUCGAUGGACAACCGGUUGAUAUUCCGGUACCCGCUUUGAAGCGCCAAACAUCGAAUCCUCUGAUGCUAAGGCCGUGAAGCCGCCCUUGAUCUCUUCGGAGUGAUGGGGAGUGGUGGAGCCGCUGACCCAAGGUGGUAGUAGGUGAGUGAUGGGGUGACGCAGGAAGGUAGUCCAGCCCGGGCGGUGGUUGUCCCGGGGUAAGGGUGUAGGCCGUGUGAUAGGCAAAUCCGUCA
Molecule: non-coding RNA, 275 nt
Filed under: Streptomyces albus subsp. albus
Lineage: Bacteria; Bacillati; Actinomycetota; Actinomycetes; Kitasatosporales; Streptomycetaceae
Description: partial 23S ribosomal RNA
Rfam family: Bacterial large subunit ribosomal RNA
Source: RNAcentral